AGCUAUAUAGUAUAGUGGUCAAUGUAUAUACUCUCUAUAUACCUAACCUCUAGACCCGCCUAGAGGUUGGGCUAUGACUAGUAUAGGGUUAUAGGUUCGAUUCCUAUCGUAGCUA
Non-coding RNA from Parachaetomium inaequale, 115 nucleotides. The record is from the annotation of a GenBank genome assembly. Lineage: Eukaryota; Fungi; Ascomycota; Sordariomycetes; Sordariales; Chaetomiaceae.